Molecule: transfer RNA, 66 nt
Filed under: Raymondia sp. A GC-2023a
Lineage: Eukaryota; Metazoa; Arthropoda; Insecta; Diptera; Streblidae
Description: tRNA-Pro
Rfam family: tRNA
About the family: Transfer RNA (tRNA) molecules are approximately 80 nucleotides in length. Their secondary structure includes four short double-helical elements and three loops (D, anti-codon, and T loops).
Source: RNAcentral
CAAGAAAUAGUUUAAUAAAAAUAUUAAUUUUGGAAAUUAAUGAUGGAUGGUUUAAUUCUUUCUUGA